Molecule: long non-coding RNA, 968 nt
Organism: Quercus robur (English oak)
Lineage: Eukaryota; Viridiplantae; Streptophyta; Magnoliopsida; Fagales; Fagaceae
Exons: 2
Source: RefSeq, a predicted model, not a curated record
UUCUCUUUCCUAUAAAUAAAGAAGAACGCAAAGGAGUGAAGCCGUCCCGUCCUGCACAGAUUCACAAUCCUCACUCCUCACUCCGCGCAGUUCCUAGGCCAGGGAACCUAAGAUGCAGUGCACUAAUUGGUGACCAAUUGGAUGGCCUUAGUGUUUGCCUCAAGUCUAUCUUCAAUGAAAUUGGGCUCAUAACCCUGAAUUUCUGUUGAAGGGCUUGUCACUAUGGCCAAUGUUGAUUUUGAGGCUGGUACCAUGUUUCCAACCAGCCAGUAAUGAUUCCUAUUCAUUUAGACACUCUUCGUCAUUAAAAUUUUAUAUCUCUUUUGUUUUCUAUGCCUCUUCGUGUUUUCUUUUGGUUUUAUCAAUACAAAGCAAACAUAUGUGAUAGUGGGAUGUCACUUUUAUUGUAAAUUUCAUUUGAAAUGCAAGAAAAAAGUUUAUUUUGUUGAACCUCCAGCAUUAUGGUAUGGAACUUACGGUGCCUUUAUAUUUUUAUAUAUGGAGUCUAGUAGCGUGCCUUUCACACUAAGGCACUUAUGGUAAAUGGUCUACAUUUGUGGCUGAGCUGCUAGAUCACUUUUCUUGUUGAAGCUGCUGAACUGAAAAUUCUUUGGGUUUUUGGAGGUUUGCACCUCCUGCUUUUGAGGUACUAAUGAUGUUGGACUAAGUUGUCUGGGAAUGUAGUGUUACCAUUUUGUUUAUCCAAUAUUUAUUCAAUGUUGGUGCUCUGGUUUCUGCCUAUCUGCAAAUGAAAUUCCUGGCUGCUGAUGGUCUAUGGUGGUCUAUGGGUUUAUGUAUAUUUGAAACUCUUGGUUGUUGUUGGGUGGUGGUGUUAUUCUUCAUUUAUACGAGGUGCCAAAAAUGGGGAUUGAGAACAUGUAAUACUGUAUCAUGAUUACAUAACAUUGUUCAUGAUUACAUUACUCCCAAUUAAGUUAGCUAUUAUAUUCCGGAAGAGUUUUUUGUGA